AUAUUGGUGCGAGACCGAUAGCAUACAAGUACCGUGAGGGAAAGAUGAAAAGAACUUUGAAAAGAGAGUUAAAGAGUACCUGAAACUGCUGAAAGGGAACCGAAUCGUUUCCAGUGUCUAUAAUCCGUGACAUAUUUCAUUGGCGAGUGUGUGCGUGCGUGUGCUAUGGCAGCGGCUUUUUUGGCUGCGCUUGGCGUGUGUGCUGUGUGUGCUUGCUGGUGCCCUGUGCUGCGGUGGGACGUCAAUGUCAGUUCGUAUGCUGCGGGAAAUGGCUGCCGAGGAGGUAGGGCUUACGCUUGCGUUUGUCUGUUAUAUCUUGGUGGACGAGUAGUCGCGGUUGGGACUGAGGUGCCUACAACGUGCUUUUGAGUGGGUUUGUGUCUCCGUGUGCACCGUGUGCGGAUAGCUUGCUAUGUGUGUGUGGUUGUGUGUGGA
Molecule: ribosomal RNA, 435 nt
Filed under: uncultured eukaryote
Lineage: Eukaryota
Description: LSU rRNA
Rfam family: Eukaryotic large subunit ribosomal RNA
Source: RNAcentral